ACGUCAAGUCAUCAUGGUUCUUACGAGUCGGGCUACAAACGUACUACAAUGGCGUUAACAAUGGGUCGCAAUGCUGCAAGGCAAAGCCAAUCCUUAAAAAACGCCUCAGUUCAGAUUGUCCUCUGCAACUCGAGGGCAUGAAGUUGGAAUCACUAGUAAUCGCUGAUCAGAAUGCAGCGGUGAAUGCGUUCCCGGGUCUU
RNAcentral lists this ribosomal RNA (200 nucleotides) under uncultured prokaryote. RNAcentral describes it as "partial 16S ribosomal RNA". It matches the Rfam family "Bacterial small subunit ribosomal RNA", at positions 1182 to 1382 of the family's 1533-position model. The record is from RNAcentral.